UACGUAGGGGGCAAGCGUUGUCGGGAUUUAUUGGGCGUAAAGAGCGUGUAGGCGGCCAGAUAGGUCAGCUGUGAAAACUCGAGGCUCAACUUCGGAACUGCCUCUGAUACAGCACGUCUUGAGUCCGGAAGAGGUGGGUGGAAUUCCUAGUGUAGAGGUGAAAUUCGUAGAUAUUAGGAAGAACACCGGUGGCGAAGGCGGCCCACUGGUCCGGUACUGACGCUGAGGUGCGAAAGCGUGGGGAGCAAACAGG
RNAcentral lists this ribosomal RNA (253 nucleotides) under uncultured bacterium. Its description in RNAcentral is "partial 16S ribosomal RNA". It matches the Rfam family "Bacterial small subunit ribosomal RNA", at positions 524 to 776 of the family's 1533-position model. The record is from RNAcentral.